CUCGUAGGUGGCCAACUAAGUCAGACGUGAAAUCCCCAGGCUCAACUUGGGAACUGCGUCUGAUACUGGAUGGCUUGAAUUCGGGAGAGGGAUGCAGAAUUCCAGGUGUAGCGGUGAAAUGCGUAGAUAUCUGGAGGAAUACCGGUGGCGAAGGCGGCAUCCUGGACCGAGAUUGACACUGAUGAGCGAAAGCUAGGGGAGCAAACGG
This 208-nucleotide ribosomal RNA is filed under the name uncultured bacterium. RNAcentral describes it as "partial 16S ribosomal RNA". It matches the Rfam family "Bacterial small subunit ribosomal RNA", at positions 568 to 775 of the family's 1533-position model. The record is from RNAcentral.